This 465-nucleotide ribosomal RNA is filed under the name uncultured bacterium. RNAcentral describes it as "bacterial SSU rRNA". It matches the Rfam family "Bacterial small subunit ribosomal RNA", at positions 338 to 795 of the family's 1533-position model. The record is from RNAcentral.
CCUACGGGUGGCACCAGUGGGGAAUAUUGCACAAUGGGCGCAAGCCUGAUGCAGCCAUGCCGCGUGUAUGAAGAAGGCCUUUGGGUUGUAAAGUACUUUCAGCGAGGAGGAAGGCGUUAAGGUUAAUAACCUUGGCGAUUGACGUUACUCGCAGAAGAAGCACCGGCUAACUCCGUGCCAGCAGCCGCGGUAAUACGGAGGGUGCAAGCGUUAAUCGGAAUUACUGGGCGUAAAGCGCACGCAGGCGGUCUGUCAAGUCGGAUGUGGAAUCCCCGGGCUCAACCUGGGAACUGCAUUCGAAACUGGCAGGCUAGAGUCUUGUAGAGGGGGGUAGAACUCCAGGUGUAGCGGUGAAAUGCGUAGGGAUCUGGAGGAAUACCAGUGGCGAAGGCGGCCCCCUGGACAAAGACUGACGCUCAGGUGCGAAAGCGUGGGGAGCAAACAGGAUUAGAUACCCUCGUAGUC